CCCUAGCUGGUACUGAACGUUUGAACCAGUCCAGCUUUCGUUGAUUGGAUGCUACUUAUAUUCUCCAUUGUCAAGAGUAAUGUUGACAUAUACCUCCUCGCGGGUACUGUUUAUUCUUCAUUGUCAAGAGGAAAUUUGGAUUGCGCAGUAUCAGCUUUGUGGGUUGUUUUCAUUGCAGCUGCACUUCCUUGUUUUACAGGCUGCGUUUUUUAAGCAAUCUGCAAGCAUAAGAUUUAGGCAGUGGAUUUGACAUUUCGUGCAUCUAAAACUACACCAAUGGCCAUUUCUACACCACAUCUGACUCCUACAUGGAGAUAUACAGUCUGCAGGAUAUUGCUGUUUGAUCAAAGUGAAAUGGAGCUCGGUAAUUAAGAAGGGAAUAAGUCAGUCCUGGUUGACGGAUCAACUCUUGCUGUAUGUCUAAUCGUCCAAUCUGAUGAUUUUUACACACUGACAAUCUUCAUUUGACGAAUCCAUCAGGAACAAAAGCUGGAACACAAUACAGUAGAUUACGGCUUCAAGCCUACAAUGACUGCAUGAUUCAUGCCUGUGUAUAUGUGACAGAACAAGCCGAUGUAUGUGUUAGCCGAAAAUUAGAUUGCACUUUUACACAUUUUGAACAACUGGCUGGCUUUUAGCCAAGUCGUUUUCAUCUGAAAUUUUUUGAACGACUUGGAUGUCAAAGGUGGAGCAGUAUCAUUUGUGAAUGAGAUAGAAUACUAGCUGACGAUCACUUUCUCCUAGUUACAGUUCAAAGUAACAAUCUUUUACUCCACAUUUUGGGAAGAAUCUCUACGGCCGGUAUUCUACCAUAAAUCACAAUGGUUGAAGUUUUGUUUUAUUCCUUGACUGGUGGAUUUAAAAUUCCAAAAUGGUUUGUCUUUUUCAUUCUCAUGAAUCUAGGUGGAAGUAAAUCCACAACAUUAAAUAAAAUACAAGGGCAAGAAGCUAACUUGAUUUUCCCAUACCCAUGUGACAGUACAGAAGUCACUUUACGGCAUUCCCUCAGCGCCCCAUUUUAUCGCUCGACAGACGGGUCAGCGCUGUCAUUGCCUCGAGUUCAGGUCAAUAGAUUCCAAGUGCAGAAUAGAAACAAAAAUGGAAACUGCUCUCUGGAUCUUACAAUAACUAAUCUAAUGAGAAAUGAUGCAGGGAAAUACAUCUCAUCGGUUUACAAGGAUGGGCAGUCAAUUAUUGUUGAUCACACAACAAGAGUCGAACUGCAAAUAGACUAUCCUCCUGGUAAGGCAUCAUGUGAUGUGAGUGAAGGAAAGGGUGGAGACUGGGUUUUAAUAGACUGUACAGCUAAUGUUGGGAGUCUAUCAGGAAAGAUUGAAUGCUAUCAGGGUGGUGUAUGGAUGCCUUCCCUAACUGACCCCAGUGAAUCUGUCACUUUAUUAACACAGACCAUUCUCAUCAGAAAAUCUCUGCCAGUAUUUUGUUGUUCUUCUUUUUUGGAUGAAUACAAAGAAAGAUGUGAAUGUAAGGAUACUGGUCUGUAUAUAGCUGAUGAUGAUAGCAAUGACCCUUGCCCUCCUUUAGAAAUUACAACAAUGCCUCCUCUUUCCACUCUCACAGAAAACAAUCAAAGUGAUUACUAUUCCAAUAUGACGUCCUCCAUUCCAAUUAAUAUGGAAACAUGCAACUUUGAUAGCAUUCAGUUUAUAAUUUCCGUUACUAUUGAAUCCAUAGUGCUAGUCUUGAUUUUUGUUAUGGUGUAUAAAAUGAUAAAAAGGGUGAGAAAUGCUGAAUGUAGACAAUAUAUUCCUCUUACUUUGUGUUGUUGGCCCAAAUCUUCCAAUAAUGGAAACGAUUUGAUUGAAAUUAAACCAGUUUAUUAGUUUACCACAGGUUUGAUAAUUUAGUUACUACAAUUACUACCGAACUCAUGCCUGUGUAUGUCUUUGAAUGUCAGAGAACCAGCCGAUGUAUGAAUGCUAGCUUAAUAAUUGAUUGCAUUUACGCUUGCAUUUUGAAUAACUAGCUAGCUUUUAGCCACACCAUUUCCAUCUGGAAUUUUUUUAUUGAGUUGGAUGUCAAAGGUGUAACAUAUUACUGUUUGUGAAAUACAGUGUGAGUCAAAAAAAGUUUACACCUAGAAAAUUGCUAAUUAUUUGUAAAAUAAUCU
Strongylocentrotus purpuratus (purple sea urchin) is the source of this 2128-nucleotide long non-coding RNA. RefSeq lists it as uncharacterized. The transcript has 2 exons. The record is from RefSeq and is a predicted model, not a curated record. Lineage: Eukaryota; Metazoa; Echinodermata; Echinoidea; Camarodonta; Strongylocentrotidae.